RNAcentral lists this ribosomal RNA (442 nucleotides) under uncultured bacterium. RNAcentral's name for it is "bacterial SSU rRNA". It matches the Rfam family "Bacterial small subunit ribosomal RNA", at positions 355 to 776 of the family's 1533-position model. The record is from RNAcentral.
UCGGGAAUUUUGGACAAUGGCCGAAAGGCUGAUCCAGCGACGCCGCGUGAGGGAAGAAGGCUUUCGGGUUGUAAACCUCUUUUCACUAGGAGGCUGCCACCCCAUAUUUCUUAUUGAAGAAAUAUGAGGUGGCAGAUACAGUACUAGUGGAAUAAGUCACGGCUAACUACGUGCCAGCAGCCGCGGUAAUACGUAGGUGGCAAACGUUAUUCGGAAUUACUGGGUGUAAAGCGUUCGUAGGCGAUUUUUUAGGUCCUUGAUUAAAUAUGUAAGCUCAACUUACUUAAGGUUAAGGAAACCAUUAGAAUUGAGGGGCAUCGAGGUAAGUGGAAUUUGCGGUGUAGCAGUGAAAUGCGUUGAUAUCGCAAGGAACACCAAUGGCGAAGGCAGCUUACUAGGUGUCACCUGACGCUGAGGAACGAAAGCGUGGGUAGCAAACGGG